Octopus bimaculoides (California two-spot octopus) is the source of this 863-nucleotide long non-coding RNA. RefSeq lists it as uncharacterized. The record is from RefSeq and is a predicted model, not a curated record. Lineage: Eukaryota; Metazoa; Mollusca; Cephalopoda; Octopoda; Octopodidae.
GGUUGCAGAUACCAUGCUCUCACCACGGUAAAUCCCGAGUACCUGACAACCUAAAGUAUGUCUACGCUGUUGUCCGAUCAGCUAGAAAUAACAACCUAAUUUCCUUCAAAUGGCUCACAUGCAACCUUAAAAAUUGGCACCAUGCAGUGGGAAGGAGGCAGAUGACUGCAUUGAGCUCCAAUGUCUGCUUUGAAAUGGUUUCUAUGACUGGAUGUCCCUCCUAAUGCUAUACACUUUACCAAAUUUACCAGAUGCUUUUUUUCAUGGCACCAGCACUGAUAAGGUUGCCAAAUAACUCACAAGACAAGGCCCUACGACAGAAUGAGGAUACAGUAUUGAGGCAGAUAAAGUUAACAUAAAGUUCACAGGCACAGGAGUGACUGUGUGGUAAGUAGCUUGCUUACCAACCACAUGGCUUUGGGUUCAGUCCCACUGUGUAGCACCUUUGGCAAGUGUCUUCUGCUAUAGCCUCCGGCCAACCAAAGCCUUAUGAGUGGAUUUGGUAGAUGUAAACUGAAAAAAGCCCAUCAUAUAUAUAUGUGUGUGUGUGUGUGUUUGUACCCCCACCAUCACUUAACGACCAAUGUUGGUGUAUUUACGUACCCGUAACCUAGCGGUUUGGCAAAAGAGACCAAUAGAAUAAGCACUAGGCUUACAAAGAAUAAGUCUUGGGGUCGAUUUGUUCAACUAAAGGUGGUGCUCCAGCAUGGCUGCAGUCAAAUGACUUAAACAAAUAUAUGAAUAAAAGAACAUCAAAAUGGCAUCUAUGGAAUGAAAGCACAAUAUGUUUUGUGGUUUCAUAGAACUAAAUCGACAAUUACAGUUCAACAAAAUUUUGAGGGUCUAUUAAUUCUUCAUCAGUA